CCAGACUCCUACGGGAGGCAGCAGUGGGGAAUAUUGCACAAUGGGGGAAACCCUGAUGCAGCAACGCCGCGUGAGUGAAGAAGUAUUUCGGUAUGUAAAGCUCUAUCAGCAGGGAAGAAAAUGACGGUACCUGAGUAAGAAGCCCCGGCUAACUACGUGCCAGCAGCCGCGGUAAUACGUAGGGGGCAAGCGUUAUCCGGAUUUACUGGGUGUAAAGGGAGCGUAGACGGCGAUACAAGUCUGAAGUGAAAGCCCGGGGCUCAACCCCGGGACUGCUUUGGAAACUGUGUUGCUGGAGUGCCGGAGAGGCAAGCGGAAUUUCUAGUGUAGCGGUGAAAUGCGUAGAUAUUAGGAAGAACACCAGUGGCGAAGGCGGCUUGCUGGACAGUAACUGACGUUGAGGCUCGAAAGCGUGGGGAGCAAACAGGAUUAGAUACCCCCGUAUA
This 446-nucleotide ribosomal RNA is filed under the name uncultured bacterium. RNAcentral's name for it is "bacterial SSU rRNA". It matches the Rfam family "Bacterial small subunit ribosomal RNA", at positions 331 to 794 of the family's 1533-position model. The record is from RNAcentral.